RNAcentral lists this ribosomal RNA (253 nucleotides) under uncultured bacterium. RNAcentral's name for it is "partial 16S ribosomal RNA". It matches the Rfam family "Bacterial small subunit ribosomal RNA", at positions 524 to 776 of the family's 1533-position model. The record is from RNAcentral.
UACGUAGGUGGCAAGCGUUAUCCGGAUUUAUUGGGCGUAAAGGGAACGCAGGCGGUCUUUUAAGUCUGGUGUGGAAGCCUUCGGCUUAACCGGAGUAGUGCAUUGGAAACUGGGAGACUUGAGUGCAGAAGAGGAGAGUGGAACUCCAUGUGUAGCGGUGAAAUGCGUAGAUAUAUGGAAGAACACCAGUGGCGAAAGCGGCUCUCUGGUCUGUAACUGACGCUGAGGUUCGAAAGCGUGGGUAGCAAACAGG